CAUGCACCAGUGAGGUCCCUCGGCCUGGCCUGUGCCCUCUUGCAAUCUAGGACCCUCGGGGGAUGUCGGAGAGCCGGUUUCCCGCAGGCCAGGCUGAGGGACCCCACUGGUGCAAG
RNAcentral lists this microRNA precursor (116 nucleotides) under Myotis brandtii (Brandt's bat). RNAcentral describes it as "mir-9193 microRNA precursor family". It matches the Rfam family "mir-9193 microRNA precursor family". The record is from Rfam by way of RNAcentral. Lineage: Eukaryota; Metazoa; Chordata; Mammalia; Chiroptera; Vespertilionidae.